Long non-coding RNA from Pan troglodytes (chimpanzee), 1229 nucleotides. RefSeq lists it as uncharacterized. NCBI's taxonomy places the organism in Eukaryota, Metazoa, Chordata, Mammalia, Primates, Hominidae. The record is from RefSeq and is a predicted model, not a curated record. The transcript has 4 exons.
CCUCAUUCUUACCUAAGGGUUGUGUGAGACCCCUUCUCCAAAGCUUUUUGCAUCUUAAGAAAGAUAAUUCCUAGGAAAGGUGCCUCACCUGGGUCAUAGCCAGUGGAAAAAGGAAAGCUUAUGAUAUCUCCUGGUCUGGUAUUAAGAGGCCAGGCUGGAAAAGGAAGGCACCAUUUCCAUCAUAUUCUUCUGGAGAGAACUUAGUCUCAUCUUCUUCACAGAAGAUGGGGAAAGGUGGCCCAGCUGGUCAGCCCUGUGCCUGGCUGCAUUUCUGUUACUAUGGAAGGAGGGAAAAAGGAAAGCCAGCAGUGCAUGUCACGCUUACAUAAGUAUUUAGCUGUGUAAAUUGAAGUGUUGAGAGCCAAGACUUCACUUAGUCUCUGGAUGCCACAGCUCCCUCCAUCAGGAAACUUAAGACCAACUCCAUUUGAUCUGAUCAGAGGACGUCUAUAAGGACCAACACAGUGUCACAUUCAAAAGCAUCUUUCUCCCCCUCCAAUCAACCAGUGUCCUGGGGCCUUCUUACCUCUGGGCAAGUUCUUUGCUAUCUUGGGUUCUCCUAGAGGUGGACAAUGAUCUUCCUUUUGGUUGAGAGUCCUAAUUGAGGAGCCUUAAGAUCUGACCAUUUGUCUAAAAGUCCUCUAGAUAACUUCUCCCAAGUUUACAUUGGUCCUUAUGCAAAUACACCUCCAAAUGGCCCAUCCCAGAAUGUCAGAAUUUCUUAACUGUACCCUGGAAACAGAGUCUCAGGGCAAACCAAGAAUGUGUCCUGGAGUGGACUACCCGAAGCACAGUACUUAUACAUUCUCUUUCACAGAAAAUGAGAAGGUGGCCGAGAAGGAAAGGUGACAUUCUUACAACUCUAAAUGGUGCUCAGUGUUGUUAUAAAUAAGAUAAAGCAAAUAUGUGGUUCAGGUAUAUAGGGUAAAAGAUUAACAUGUGUGUAGGCAUCUCGGGGUCUGGGGAGGGAUGAUUGAUUUUAUCUUGCCUAUAUUCUUCAUCUAUAGGCAAGGUUGUCAUCAACACAGGUCAGUGGAAUAUUUGACAUAUUCUAGGCUUGCAGGCUGAGAUUUCAGCUUUUGUUCAUAGGCCUAGUUUAUAUUAAUUGUUCACAGUUAUUAACUGUAUAUCCUGCCUGCAGCCAUCUUGGGCUGCCAUUUUUAAAAACUUUUUUCUUCAGCUUUUUCUUUCCUCCAGGAGUUGUGGUACACCACCCUCCCUGCAUGUAU